RNAcentral lists this ribosomal RNA (1515 nucleotides) under Acinetobacter baumannii. Its description in RNAcentral is "bacterial LSU rRNA". It matches the Rfam family "Bacterial large subunit ribosomal RNA", at positions 1422 to 2925 of the family's 2925-position model. Lineage: Bacteria; Pseudomonadati; Pseudomonadota; Gammaproteobacteria; Moraxellales; Moraxellaceae. The record is from RNAcentral.
AAGCAGGUUAAUAUUCCUGCACCUCGCGUAAGUGCGAUGGAGGGACGGAGAAGGUUAGGUGUACCAGGCGUUGGUUGUCCUGGGGAAAGGCGGUAGGUUUGGAUCUUUGGCAAAUCCGGGAUCCUUUAAGACCGAGCACCGAGACGAGCCUUUAUGGCGAAGUCACUGAUACCACGCUUCCAGGAAAAGCUCCUAAGCUUCAGCUUACGCAGACCGUACCGUAAACCGACACAGGUGGGUAGGAUGAGAAUUCUCAGGCGCUUGAGAGAACUCGGGUGAAGGAACUAGGCAACAUGGCACCGUAACUUCGGGAGAAGGUGCACCCUUUUUGGUGGCUCGUGCGAGCUAUAGCUGAAGAGGGUCGCAGUAACCAGGCCGCUGCGACUGUUUAUCAAAAACACAGCACUCUGCAAACACGAAAGUGGACGUAUAGGGUGUGACGCCUGCCCGGUGCUGGAAGGUUAAUUGAUGGGGUCAGCCGCAAGGCGAAGCUCUUGAUCGAAGCCCCAGUAAACGGCGGCCGUAACUAUAACGGUCCUAAGGUAGCGAAAUUCCUUGUCGGGUAAGUUCCGACCUGCACGAAUGGCGUAACGACAGCGGCGCUGUCUCCACCCGAGACUCAGUGAAAUUGAAAUCGCUGUGAAGAUGCAGCGUUCCCGUGGCAAGACGGAAAGACCCCGUGAACCUUUACUAUAGCUUUACACUGAACGUUGAGUUCGUCUGUGUAGGAUAGGUGGGAGGCUAUGAAACCAUGGCGCUAGCUGUGGUGGAGCCAUCCUUGAAAUACCACCCUGUCGUGCUUGACGUUCUAACCUGGGCCCAUUAUCUGGGUCGGGGACCGUGUAUGGUGGGUAGUUUGACUGGGGCGGUCUCCUCCUAAAGAGUAACGGAGGAGCUCGAAGGUACGCUCAGCGCGGUCGGACAUCGCGCACUGUGUGCAAAGGCAUAAGCGUGCUUGACUGCAAGAUCGACGGAUCAAGCAGGUAGGAAACUAGGACUUAGUGAUCCGGUGGUUCUGUAUGGAAGGGCCAUCGCUCAACGGAUAAAAGGUACUCCGGGGAUAACAGGCUGAUACCGCCCAAGAGUUCAUAUCGACGGCGGUGUUUGGCACCUCGAUGUCGGCUCAUCACAUCCUGGGGCUGUAGUCGGUCCCAAGGGUAUGGCUGUUCGCCAUUUAAAGUGGUACGCGAGCUGGGUUCAGAACGUCGUGAGACAGUUCGGUCCCUAUCUGCCAUGGGCGUUGGAGAUUUGAGAGGGGCUGCUCCUAGUACGAGAGGACCGGAGUGGACGAACCUCUGGUGUUCCGGUUGUCACGCCAGUGGCAUUGCCGGGUAGCUAUGUUCGGAAGCGAUAACCGCUGAAAGCAUCUAAGCGGGAAGCGCGCCUCAAGAUGAGAUCUCCCGGGGCACAAGCCCCCUGAAGGAACCAUGUAGACUACGUGGUUGAUAGGUCAGGUGUGUAAGUACAGCAAUGUAUUGAGCUAACUGAUACUAAUGAUCCGUGCGGCUUGACCAU